CCUACGGGAGGCAGCAGUAGGGAAUCUUCCACAAUGGACGAAAGUCUGAUGGAGCAACGCCGCGUGAGCGAUGAAGGCCUUCGGGUCGUAAAGCUCUGUUGUUAGGGAAGAACAAGUAUCGGAGUAACUGCCGGUACCUUGACGGUACCUGACCAGAAAGCCACGGCUAACUACGUGCCAGCAGCCGCGGUAAUACGUAGGUGGCAAGCGUUGUCCGGAAUUAUUGGGCGUAAAGCGCGCGCAGGCGGUUUCUUAAGUCUGAUGUGAAAGCCCCCGGCUCAACCGGGGAGGGUCAUUGGAAACUGGGAAACUUGAGUGCAGAAGAGGAAAGUGGAAUUCCAAGUGUAGCGGUGAAAUGCGUAGAGAUUUGGAGGAACACCAGUGGCGAAGGCGACUUUCUGGUCUGUAACUGACGCUGAGGCGCGAAAGCGUGGGGAGCAAACAGGAUUAGAUACCCUGGUAGUCCACGCUGUAAACGAUGAGUGCUAAGUGUUAGAGGGUUUCCGCCCUUUAGUGCUGAAGUUAACGCAUUAAGCACUCCGCCUGGGGAGUACGGUCGCAAGACUGAAACUCAAAGGAAUUGACGG
This 587-nucleotide ribosomal RNA is filed under the name uncultured bacterium. RNAcentral's name for it is "bacterial SSU rRNA". It matches the Rfam family "Bacterial small subunit ribosomal RNA", at positions 338 to 916 of the family's 1533-position model. The record is from RNAcentral.